Molecule: long non-coding RNA, 620 nt
Filed under: Trifolium pratense (red clover)
Lineage: Eukaryota; Viridiplantae; Streptophyta; Magnoliopsida; Fabales; Fabaceae
Description: long non-coding RNA (TPRA_LNC010026)
Source: RNAcentral
GAGAGGUUUUCUAUAAUCUUCUUUCACUGGUUUCUAUUGUUAUUUGUGAUUUAGAUGAUGUAGAUGAUGAUACUCUUAAAAAGAUAUCCUUUUCAUUACAGUGGCAUGGGACUCCCUCCUCUCUAUUAGGAGGAAGCCAAAAUUAUGUCACACAUAAUCUGCAGGCUUUAAUUUGGUUAUCUCUUCUAAGACACUUUACAUUUCAGUCUAUGUUUGAUAAUGAACAUCUACUUUUGAGUUUUCUCAUACUUCCCAUUAAACUAGUCAUUUUUUUUUUACUUGUGUGUAUGUGUUUCUUGAUUUGGGAUAUGACUUUUUGUGCUCUAGGAACGUGAGUAUGAAGCAUCUUUUUAUCCCUCCCCUAAAGAUAAGGAAUUCUUGACAGCUUAGUUUGACACUUUUUUGUAAUGUUGAUUUGUCACUUCCUUUGUUACAAUUUAUUCUUUUAUUUUCUUUGCCUUUGUUAUAAUUUUUUUCUUCUUUUUAUCUUUUCAUUCGUCUCUUUCAUUUGUGUUACUUCCUUUGUUAUACUGGGGAGAGAACUAUGAAUGUACUGUGGGGAUUCAAAAGUUGUGGUGAAAAUUGGAAGUACUGCCUUUGGAUUAAACAGUCAUUUUUUU